This is a small nucleolar RNA of Ornithorhynchus anatinus (platypus), 137 nucleotides long. NCBI's taxonomy places the organism in Eukaryota, Metazoa, Chordata, Mammalia, Monotremata, Ornithorhynchidae. The record is from RefSeq and is a predicted model, not a curated record.
CUCCUCUCAGGGUCGACCUGGAGAGUUUCCAGUCCUCUACCAGGCUCGACUACGGGAGGGACAGUAAGGCAGUGGCUUACCCGUUCCAUUCCUAGCUUGGGCAGUGGCUAGAGAGUGGAAGGCCAUCUGCUACAAGU